AACACUCAUGUGAACAACACAAGGGUUAGGGAGGCUGACACCCUUUGUGGUAAAGAAUCCACGUGUAACUUUUGACUCUCCCCAAACUUAACUACUAAUAAUCUACUGCUGACUGAAAGUUUUAUCAAUAACAGAACCAGUCAAUUAACACCUAUUUUGCAUAUGUAUUACAUACUAAAUCCUUACAAUGAAGUAAGCUAGAGAAAAGAAAACAUUAAGAAAUUCAUAAGGAAGAGAAAAUACAUUUACAGGAUUCUACUCUAUAUAUCAAAAAAAAAAUCUGUGUAUAAGUGAAUUCGUACAAUUCAAACUCAUGUUGUUCAAGGGUCAACUGCAAUAAAAACGGGGAGGAAGACAGUGAAGUGUUUUAAUUAGCUUAAAUGUACUUGACAAUGAACCAUUUAAAAAGAAUAUCCUUUUAUCAAGUGCCAACAUCAGAGAUGCUAGCCAAACCAAAAAGUUACUAAUGCUAUUAAUUUUGUUGCUUUUCUUCCCUCUGAGAAUCAUAAUGAAGAUCAGUGAGGGUAGACUACUCAGAUAUGGUAGGAGUUCAACAGUCACGUGCAUGCACCAAUUCUCAAAGGACUGACACUGAGAAACACAGCUUUUGAGUUAAUAACUGAUAGCUUCUGAGAAGGCAUCAAGAUCCAAAGGCAAAACAGAAAGAGAGAAAACAGAAAAUAAACGACAGCAACAUGCAUUAAAGAAUCAAGGAGAAACUAAGAGAGGAGCAGAAAGACGUGCUUAUGACUGUACACAUUGAAAGUGAACUUUAGGUAAACCUAAGUACAGAUUUUUAAAAAGUGUCUAACAAGGAUUAUAUAUUUAUUUGUCCCAGAAUAAAACUGUUCUCAG
Leopardus geoffroyi (Geoffroy's cat) is the source of this 855-nucleotide long non-coding RNA. RefSeq lists it as uncharacterized. The transcript has 2 exons. The record is from RefSeq and is a predicted model, not a curated record. Lineage: Eukaryota; Metazoa; Chordata; Mammalia; Carnivora; Felidae.